This 253-nucleotide ribosomal RNA is filed under the name uncultured bacterium. Its description in RNAcentral is "partial 16S ribosomal RNA". It matches the Rfam family "Bacterial small subunit ribosomal RNA", at positions 524 to 776 of the family's 1533-position model. The record is from RNAcentral.
UACGUAGGGUGCAAGCGUUAAUCGGAAUUACUGGGCGUAAAGCGUGCGUAGACGGUUUCGUAAGUCGGGUGUGAAAUCCCCGGGCUCAACCUGGGAAUUGCAUUCGAAACUGCGAGGCUAGGGUACGGAAGAGGGAAGCGGAAUUUCUGGUGUAGCGGUGAAAUGCGUAGAUAUCAGAAGGAACAUCAGUGGCGAAAGCGGCUUCCUGGUCCAGUACAGACGUUCAGGCACGAAAGCGUGGGGAGCAAACAGG